Dicentrarchus labrax (European seabass) is the source of this 279-nucleotide long non-coding RNA. RefSeq lists it as uncharacterized. The transcript is spliced from 3 exons. The record is from RefSeq and is a predicted model, not a curated record. Lineage: Eukaryota; Metazoa; Chordata; Actinopteri; Moronidae.
UGACUGGCCCUUUCAAACGCGAAGGAGAAAUUAUGGUGGCCGAGAAAAACGCGGGCCACUUUGGAAAAAUGGCGGUUCAACAUGGCGGACUCCCUGCGACCUGUGGCGUCUGCAGAUAAAAGAAGGCUCAUUUUAAGGUGCAGUAUCAGAAGGAAGGUGAUGCAGAGACAGACAAAGCCAAGCAGGAAGAGAAGGUGGAACAGGACAAGAAAGGGGGGAGAGAUAGAGGGAGAAAGACAUGCAGCAAAGGGCCGCAGGUUGGAAUCGAACCCAGGCCGC